AGUUUUCCCUUAUACCAAAAAAAAUCUCUUUCAAUUACAUCCAGGCCACAAGAUACAAGAAAUAGCACAUAGCUAACAUUUAUUACAUUCUUCCUAUGUCCCAUGUACAGAAUAAAGACUGUGUGUGUGUAUGUGUGUGUAUAGUUUUAUUUGAAUAAGACAAUUUUGGAUCUUUCCUGCUUUCUCUUGUGGGCAUUUAGUGCUAUAAAUUUCCCUCUACACACUGCUUUGAGAAAUACAGAGAACACCACAAAGAUACUCCUCGAGAAGAGCAACCCAAAGACACAUAAUCGUCAGAUUCACCAAGGUUGAAAUGAAGAAAAAUAUGUUAAGGGCAGCCAUAGAUGAACAACCUGAUCCUGAAUGACUACUGGGUAAAUAAUAAAAUUAAGGCAGAAAUAAAUAAGUUCUUUGAAACCAAUGAGAACAAAGACACGCUGUACCAGAAUCUCUGGGACACAGAUAAAGCGCUGCUUACAGGGAAAUUUAUAGCACUAAAUGCCCACAUGAGAAAGCAGGAAAAAUCUAAAAUUGACACCCUAAAAUCACAACUAAAAGAACUAGAGAAGCAAGAGCAAACAAAUUCAAAAGCUAGCAGAAGAGAAAAUAUAACUAAGAUCAGAGCAGAACUGAAGGAGAUAGAGAACUAAAAAACCCUUCAAAAAAUCAGUGAAUCCAGGAGCUGAUUUUUUUAAAAACAUUAACAAAAUACAUAGGCCACUAGCCAGACUAAUAAAGAAGAAAGGAGAGAAGAAUCAAAUAGACACAAUAAAAAUAAUAGAAGGGAUAUCACCACUGAUCCCACAGAAAUACAAACUACCAUCAGAGACUAUUAUAAGCACUUCUUUGCAAAUAAACUAGACAAUCUAGAAGAAAUGGAUAAAUUCCUGGACACAUGCACCCUCCCAAGACUAAACCAGGAAGAAGUCAAAUCUCUGAAUAGACCAAUAACAAGUUCUGAAAUUGAGGCAGUAAUUAAUAGCCUACCAACCAAAAGAAGCCCAGGAGCAGAUGGAUUCACAGCCACAUUCUACAAGAGGUACAAAGGGGAGCUGGUACCAUUCCUUUUGAAAUUAUUCAAAACAAUAGAAAAAGAGAGACUCCUCCCUUAUUCAUUUUAUGAGGCCAGCCUUAUCCUGAUAUCAAAACCUGGGAGAGACACAACAAAAAAAGAAAAUUUCAGGCCAAUAUCCCUGAUGAACAUCACUGCAAAAAUCCUCAAUAAAAUACUGGCAACGAAUCCAGCAGCACAUUAAAAAGCUUAUCCACCACAAUCAAGUUAGCUUCAUCCUUGGGAUGCAAGGCUGGUUCAACAUGUGCAAAUCAAUAAACGUAAUCCAUCACAUAAACAGGGUCAAUGACAAAAACCACAUAAUUAUCUCAAUAGAGGCAGAAAAGGCCUUCAAUAAAAUUCAACAGACUUUCAUGCUAAAAACACUCAGUAAACUAGGUAUGGAUGGAAUGUAUCUCAAAAUAACAAGAGCUAUUUAUGACAAACCCACAGCCAAUAUCAUACUGAAUGGGCAAAAGCUGGAAGCAUUCCCUUUGAAAACUGACACAAGACAAGAAUAUUCUCUCUCACCACUCCUAUUCAAUAUAGUAUUGAACAUUCUGGCCAGGUAAAUCAGACAAGAGAAAGGAACAAAGGGUAUUCAAAUAGGAAAAGAGGAAGUCAAAUUAUCUCUGUUUGAAGAUGACAUGAUUGUAUAUUUAUAAAACCCCAUCGUCUCAGCCCAAAAUCUCCUUAGGCUGAUAAGCAACUUCAGCAAAGUCUCAGGAUACAAAAUCAAUGUGCAAACAUCACAAGCAUUCCUAUACAACAAUAAUAGACAAACAGAGAGCCAAAUCAUGAGUGAACUCCCAUUCGUGAUUGCUACAAAGAGAAUAAGAUACCUAGGAAUACAACUUACAGGGAUGUGAAGACCUCUUCAAGGAGAACUACAAACCACAGCUCAGGGAAAU
RNAcentral lists this long non-coding RNA (1962 nucleotides) under Homo sapiens (human). RNAcentral's name for it is "non-protein coding lnc-SCLT1-6:1". The record is from RNAcentral. Lineage: Eukaryota; Metazoa; Chordata; Mammalia; Primates; Hominidae.